Molecule: long non-coding RNA, 870 nt
Organism: Mercenaria mercenaria
Lineage: Eukaryota; Metazoa; Mollusca; Bivalvia; Venerida; Veneridae
Exons: 3
Source: RefSeq, a predicted model, not a curated record
AAGAAGAUUUUGAAGCGAUAUCCUGGCUUGUUCUGUACUCAGAAACAGAUUGCAGUGAAAGAGAGGAAGUUUAGUGUAACAAGACUGGAAUAUCUUAAAGAACAAGGAGUUGAUCCACAAACGCAUUGGCUAGGUGACGGUGAUUCGUGUUGCCCAACGGAGAUUAAGUCAUUCACUAAUUCGACGAUGGAAAAUGUGUAUGGAGAAACAAAGUAUAUUAUUCACACGCCUCCAAAAUACCAGUUCAUUCCACAUGGAUUUUGUAUUGAAGGCGGAACGUGUGAUGGUAAAUGCGCAACUGAACCAGUUACACACUCUUUGUUGACCUACAACCUUGCAAAGAAAAAACUGGAGUUUGAUCUGUUUGUUGUUCCAGGUUAUUGCUCGUGUAAAGCGACAUAAAUCAGUUCAGUAACCAAAAACGUGUUUUGUGUUGUAAAACAACCUGUCAUAGACUUACACUAUUACCCUUACAUAUUAUUCAGAAAAAAAACCAUACCGCCACAUUAUUCUAGUUUCAUACUAAAUUCAUUUUAGUCAAUGCGAGAAACUUUUUAACGGCAUUUAAAAAUGAAAGAAAGCUGCCCACAACAAUGUUUGAUGGACAAUAUAAUCAUUUAAAGAAAUAUUUUGUCUUUGUUUCAGUGAUUAUCUGAUGUCAAUGAGAUUUAUGGCAGUUGUAUAACACAAUAAAAUUUACUUGAACUUUAAUUUCUCUCAUUGUCAUUAAGAAGACCAGAAUGAAAAAAAAAAAAAACAAGAGGCAUGUUAGACUUGCAUGUCGCCCGCCGAAGUAAAUAAUAUAUGUGAAAGGUGACCAAGAAUAAUUCUUAUUUCAAAAAUCAUGAAAAUUAAAUGAAUUCGUUUUAA